This is a non-coding RNA of Picea glauca (white spruce), 121 nucleotides long. The record is from Rfam. Lineage: Eukaryota; Viridiplantae; Streptophyta; Pinopsida; Pinales; Pinaceae.
ACAUGCUUACAACAUAGCGUUAAUGCAAGGGAUCCCAUUAGAACUCUGAAGUUAAGUGUUCUCAUGCUAAAGUAGUAUUGGGAUGGGUGACUACCCAGGAAGUCUUAGUAUUUUACAUGCC